AGGACGAACGCUGGCGGCGUGCUUAACACAUGCAAGUCGAACGAGGCCCUCUCUUCGGAGGGGUGUUCUAGUGGCGAACGGGUGAGUAACACGUGGGCAACCUGCCCCUAGCACUGGGAUAACCCCGGGAAACCGGAGCUAAUACCAGAUAUGACCACGGACGGCAUCAUCUCGUGGUGGAAAGAUUUAUCGGCUAGGGGAUGGGCCCCGCGGCCUAUCAGCUUGUUGGUGGGGUAACGCCUACCAAGGCGACGACGGGUA
Molecule: ribosomal RNA, 261 nt
Filed under: uncultured bacterium
Lineage: Bacteria
Description: partial small subunit ribosomal RNA
Rfam family: Bacterial small subunit ribosomal RNA
Source: RNAcentral